This 253-nucleotide ribosomal RNA is filed under the name uncultured bacterium. RNAcentral describes it as "partial 16S ribosomal RNA". It matches the Rfam family "Bacterial small subunit ribosomal RNA", at positions 524 to 776 of the family's 1533-position model. The record is from RNAcentral.
GACAGAGGGUGCAAGCGUUGUCCGGAAUUAUUGGGCGUAAAACGUCUGUAGGCGGUUCACUAAGUCUAAAGUCAAAUAGUUGAGCUCAACUCAAUCUUCGCUUUGGAUACUGAUGAACUAGAGUGCGUUAGGGGUUAUUGGAAUUCCCGGUGUAGUGGUGAAAUACGUAGAUAUCGGGAGGAACUCCAGUGGCGAAAGCGAAUAACUGGGGCGUAACUGACGCUGAGAGACGAAAGCGUGGGGAGCAAAAAGG